CGCUACGGACUUAAAAUCCGUCGACUUUUAAAAUCGUGAGGGUUCAAGUCCCUCUAUCCCCA
RNAcentral lists this transfer RNA (62 nucleotides) under Lotus dorycnium. RNAcentral's name for it is "Dorycnium pentaphyllum partial tRNA-Leu". It matches the Rfam family "tRNA", at positions 22 to 71 of the family's 71-position model. From Rfam's summary of the family: Transfer RNA (tRNA) molecules are approximately 80 nucleotides in length. Their secondary structure includes four short double-helical elements and three loops (D, anti-codon, and T loops). Lineage: Eukaryota; Viridiplantae; Streptophyta; Magnoliopsida; Fabales; Fabaceae. The record is from RNAcentral. RNAcentral also lists the same sequence under 10 other names.